This 255-nucleotide ribosomal RNA is filed under the name Escherichia coli. RNAcentral's name for it is "partial 23S ribosomal RNA". It matches the Rfam family "Bacterial large subunit ribosomal RNA", at positions 1125 to 1378 of the family's 2925-position model. The record is from RNAcentral. Lineage: Bacteria; Pseudomonadati; Pseudomonadota; Gammaproteobacteria; Enterobacterales; Enterobacteriaceae. RNAcentral also lists the same sequence under 1 other name.
AAAGAAAGCGUAAUAGCUCACUGGUCGAGUCGGCCUGCGCGGAAGAUGUAACGGGGCUAAACCAUGCACCGAAGCUGCGGCAGCGACGCUUAUGCGUUGUUGGGUAGGGGAGCGUUCUGUAAGCCUGUGAAGGUGUGCUGUGAGGCAUGCUGGAGGUAUCAGAAGUGCGAAUGCUGACAUAAGUAACGAUAAAGCGGGUGAAAAGCCCGCUCGCCGGAAGACCAAGGGUUCCUGUCCAACGUUAAUCGGGGCAGG